CCGUAAUUAUUGUAUGGCUUUGCCUUACAAUAUAAAGCGCCUUGGGCAACUGUUUGUUGUGAUUUGGCGCUAUAUAAAUAAAAUUGAUUUGAUGUGUCAUCAAAGCUAUAAAAAAAACAAUAUGAUGCUCAUUCAACACACCUGCAGGUGGCGCAAGUGCUGCAACUAUAGCAACAAUUACAUUCUUUGAUUGUAGGAGGCUGCAUCACAAUUUUAACAUCUAUAAAUGUAGUUUGCUGGUACCGUUGUUUUUUCUGUCCAGUAGGUGGCAUAACCAGUCUGACAAACACCAAACAGCACCCCCUUGUGGUGUAUCCAAAGAAAUCAUUAUAUUCACAAACUGGUGAUAUUUUGCCGGUAUAAAAAUGUACGAGGUCAUAUAAAUUAUUUUCUCUCUAAGGUUGUUGGCCUUCAAGUGAUCUAAAGUACUGCAGUCCUGCAAAAAACAAAAAAACAACAAAACAAAACAAAAGCGUCAGGUAGGCAGAGGCAGUUUACUACAAACUAUGAGUGAAAAUGAAUGUCGUGCAAAAAUGAGUGAAAAUGAAUGUCGUGCAAAAGAGUGAACAUUAAGGUGUUGUUUAUCCGGUUUACUCUCCAGUCUGAGAGGGCAAUUUGUCAUAAAAAUGUGUUUAAAAAAAAAAAAAAAAAAAAAAGGAAAAACAAAAAAGAUGAAUCAUCAGCCCUUUGUCCAGCUGAAGUGUUGAACAAAUACAGGUUUGCGAAAGAUUAAAAACGCAACAAUGAUGAAAAGGAACUUAGUCACCGUGGCAACGGUUCAUGUCACAGAUACAAACAUUGGCGAGUGGCUGUGCUGUCUGGGCUCGACAGGUAUUACCUGUGCUGAAACAGGCAGAACAAGGUGAUUAUUAACAUUUCCAUGGAGAGUUCUCUGAUUGUUUCUGCUGAUUAUUUGUUUUCUGUCAGCUCCUUAAAUGGUCAUCAUAUCACGAGGAAGUUUCAGCAUGGAAUAUUACCCACAUUAAUAUGUUUUAAAAAAAGUCAAGUAUGAAUCUCAAUACAUUCAUUGUAUUUUCAGACACACAUGCACACAGAUAUAAACAGAUAUUUACACACAGGAGAAACCAGCACGCUGCUCAGCUUCUGCUUCCACUUCUCCUUAAAAGUUCAUGUCUCAAACAAUAAAUGAUUUGACAGUGUGGUGAUGAUGUUGGCAGUAAACUGGGGAAAAACGUUUUUUUUUUUUUUUUUUAAACAUCAAUUAAACUUCUUCGGAUGUGAUCCAAAAGAGUUCCAAAUGCAUCAUGGGAGUCACACAGGACGGUUCCACAGAUACAGUUCAGUUCCAAAAGCAUGUGCUUGUGUGCUUAUGGGCAUGUGUGUGUGUGUGUGUGUGUGUGUGUGUAGUCAGUCUGAGUGAAACAGUGCAUAUGAUGAAUCAACAUAAGUGGUAACUUGUUCAAGUAAUGAGAACACACACCAAAAUCAUCUUUGUCAGCGUUUUCUGGGUUCUGUUGCUUUGGCUCUCGUGUAGUAUCAGACCUGACCAUGUGGUGCACCACAAUGAACGCAUGAGCAAAGUUUUUCCCUUCAAAAACUCAGUACUAAACACCAAAUUUCAAUAAGUGAAUUCAAUCAAAUAAGAACUCUAUGCAGCCAUGAGGGAUUUUAAGAUAACUGUGUUAUGAAAUCUGGCAACAUUCAGCGUACGGCAUAGUUUCUUCAGAACAUGACCUCCGGUCUGCAUUGUCAGGCUCGUUAUGUAAUUUGAUUGUAAUUUUGUAAUUUUAGGAUUACUAAAAUUGUGCAUUUUUGGAAAGUGUAUGCAAUAGCCAAUCAGAAAACAGACUAUUCAAUUUUCCUAAAGACCACCAACCACCACCAUUGCAUUCCAUCCAUCCAUUCAUCCAUCUUCUAUACCCACAUCAAUUAAAGGUCACUGGGGGCUUAUCCAAGCAGUCAUAGGGCGUGAGCCGGGGUACACCCUGGACAGGAUGCCAGUCUGUCACAGGGCCACAUACAGACAAACAAACAUAUUCAGACUCGCACAUCUACAGACAAUUUAAAGUUUCCAAUCCACCUAACCUGCAUGUCUUUGGAUGUGGGAGGAAGCCAGAGCACUCGGAGAGAACCCAUGCAAAUACAGGAAGAACAUGCAAACUCCACACAGGAAGACCGCAGGCAGGAGUCAAUCCUUUGACCUUCUUGCUGUGAGGCCACACUGCUAACCAUUAAGCUACCAGGGUGGGUUCCUUACACUGAAAAUACUAAACCACUGUCAUCAGUGUCAAGCUGAAAUUAUAAACUAUAAUUUUAAGCCUCCAUUUUUACAAAGUUAAGCCACAGUGGCUUCUGGAAUAAAGGCAUCACACAUUUUGUGAUCGGCUAUUGGCUAUUUCUUAUUGGCUAAUAUGUAAUUUUUUUUUUAAAAAUGUAAGAUUUUGCAAAUAUGCACAAAGUUCCAAUAAAAGCUGGAACCGGAACACAGUGAACUUUACUAUUUGGCCAGUUUACAACUGGGAGGAGACCCAUGGUUUCUAAAUCUGAGGUAGUGGAAAACUGGACUGCCCCCUUCAGGACAGGAGCAAGUUACCGAGCCAAAUGAAGGAUGUGAU
Thalassophryne amazonica is the source of this 2576-nucleotide long non-coding RNA. RefSeq lists it as uncharacterized. The record is from RefSeq and is a predicted model, not a curated record. Lineage: Eukaryota; Metazoa; Chordata; Actinopteri; Batrachoidiformes; Batrachoididae. The transcript is spliced from 2 exons.